AGUGAACGCUGGCGGUAGGCCUAACACAUGCAAGUCGAACGGCAGCACAGUAAGAGCUUGCUCUUACGGGUGGCGAGUGGCGGACGGGUGAGGAAUACAUCGGAAUCUACUUUUUCGUGGGGGAUAACGUAGGGAAACUUACGCUAAUACCGCAUACGACCUACGGGUGAAAGCAGGGGAUCUUCGGACCUUGCGCGAUUGAAUGAGCCGAUGUCGGAUUAGCUAGUUGGCGGGGUAAAGGCCCACCAAGGCGACGAUCCGUAGCUGGUCUGAGAGGAUGAUCAGCCACACUGGAACUGAGACACGGUCCAGACUCCUACGGGAGGCAGCAGUGGGGAAUAUUGGACAAUGGGCGAAAGCCUGAUCCAGCCAUACCGCGUGGGUGAAGAAGGCCUUCGGGUUGUAAAGCCCUUUUGUUGGGAAAGAAAAGCAGCAGGUUAAUACCCCGCUGUUCCGACGGUACCCAAAGAAUAAGCACCGGCUAACUUCGUG
This 492-nucleotide ribosomal RNA is filed under the name uncultured bacterium. Its description in RNAcentral is "partial 16S ribosomal RNA". It matches the Rfam family "Bacterial small subunit ribosomal RNA", at positions 29 to 507 of the family's 1533-position model. The record is from RNAcentral.